UGUGAGGUGGAGUAGACGGUAACUCGCCAGGCUCAUGACUUGGAGAUCGUAGGUUCGAGUCCUACCCUCACAA
RNAcentral lists this transfer RNA (73 nucleotides) under Ancoracysta twista. Its description in RNAcentral is "tRNA-Met". It matches the Rfam family "tRNA". From Rfam's summary of the family: Transfer RNA (tRNA) molecules are approximately 80 nucleotides in length. Their secondary structure includes four short double-helical elements and three loops (D, anti-codon, and T loops). Further hydrogen bonds mediate the characteristic L-shaped molecular structure. tRNAs have two regions of fundamental functional importance: the anti-codon, which is responsible for specific mRNA codon recognition, and the 3' end, to which the tRNAs corresponding amino acid is attached (by aminoacyl-tRNA synthetases). tRNAs cope with the degeneracy of the genetic code in two manners: having more than one tRNA (with a specific anti-codon) for a particular amino acid; and 'wobble' base-pairing, i.e. permitting non-standard base-pairing at the 3rd anti-codon position. The record is from RNAcentral. Lineage: Eukaryota; Nebulidia; Nebulidea; Nebulidida; Ancoracystidae.